RNAcentral lists this unclassified non-coding RNA (209 nucleotides) under fungal sp. RNAcentral's name for it is "partial internal transcribed spacer region". The stretch from base 1 to 46 matches the Rfam family "Eukaryotic small subunit ribosomal RNA", at positions 1786 to 1831 of the family's 1831-position model. Lineage: Eukaryota; Fungi. The record is from RNAcentral. RNAcentral also lists the same sequence under 2 other names.
AAGUCGUAACAAGGUCUCCGUUGGUGAACCAGCGGAGGGAUCAUUACAGAGUUGCAAAACUCCCAACCCUUUGUGAACGAACCUACCAGUUGCCUCGGCGGCGAGCUUUUCAGGCGGACCGCCGGAGGAAUACAAACUCUUUACAUUAUAGUAUCUCUGAUUACUUAUUUAAUAAGUUAAAACUUUCAACAACGGAUCUCUUGGUUCUG